GAUGAAGAACGCAGCGAAAUGCGAUAAGUAAUGUGAAUUGCAGAAUUCAGUGAAUCAUCGAAUCUUUGAACGCACAUUGCGCCCGCCAGUAUUCUGGCGGGCAUGCCUGUUCGAGCGUCAUUUCAACCCUCAAGCCCCAGCGGCCUGGUGUUGGGGACCGGCAACCUCGCCCGAGCCCGCCCUCCGGGGCGCGUGCCCGGUGCGUCCGCCGCCCCCGAAAUGAAUUGGCGGCCUCGUCGCGGCCUCCUCUGCGUAGUAGCACAACCUCGCAAGCGGGAGCGCGACGCGGCCACUGCCGUAAAACGCCCAACUUUUUUAGAGUUGACCUCGGAUCAGGUAGGAAUACCCGCUGAACUUAAGCAUAUCAAUAAGCGGAGGA
Molecule: unclassified non-coding RNA, 379 nt
Filed under: soil metagenome
Description: partial contains 5.8S ribosomal RNA, internal transcribed spacer 2, and large subunit ribosomal RNA
Rfam family: 5.8S ribosomal RNA (bases 1-120)
Source: RNAcentral